AGUCGAGCGGAAGGCCCUUCGGGGUACUCGAGCGGCGAACGGGUGAGUAACACGUGAGUAACCUGCCCCUGACUCUGGGAUAAGCCCGGGAAACUGGGUCUAAUACCGGAUACGACACCUCCUGGCAUCGGGUGGGUGUGGAAAGUUUUUUCGGUUGGGGAUGGACUCGCGGCCUAUCAGCUUGUUGGUGGGGUAAUGGCCUACCAAGGCGACGACGGGUAGCCGGCCUGAGAGGGCGACCGGCCACACUGGGACUGAGACACGGCCCAGACUCCUACGGGAGGCAGCAGUGGGGAAUAUUGCGCAAUGGGCGAAAGCCUGACGCAGCGACGCCGCGUGGGGGAUGACGGCCUUCGGGUUGUAAACCUCUUUCAGCAGGGACGAAGUUGACGUGUACCUGCAGAAGAAGCGCCGGCUAACUACGUGCCAGCAGCCGCGGUAAUACGUAGGGCGCAAGCGUUGUCCGGAAUUAUUGGGCGUAAAGAGCUCGUAGGUGGCUUGUCACGUCGGGUGUGAAAGCUUGGGGCUUAACUCCAGGUCUGCAUUCGAUACGGGCUGGCUAGAGGUAGGUAGGGGAGAACGGAAUUCCUGGUGUAGCGGUGAAAUGCGCAGAUAUCAGGAGGAACACCGGUGGCGAAGGCGGUUCUCUGGGCCUUACCUGACGCUGAGGAGCGAAAGCGUGGGGAGCGAACAGGAUUAGAUACCCUGGUAGUCCACGCUGUAAACGUUGGGCGCUAGGUGUGGGGACCUUCCACGGUUUCCGCGCCGUAGCUAACGC
This 778-nucleotide ribosomal RNA is filed under the name Streptosporangium amethystogenes. RNAcentral describes it as "bacterial SSU rRNA". It matches the Rfam family "Bacterial small subunit ribosomal RNA", at positions 60 to 858 of the family's 1533-position model. The record is from RNAcentral. Lineage: Bacteria; Bacillati; Actinomycetota; Actinomycetes; Streptosporangiales; Streptosporangiaceae.